CCUACGGGUGGCAGCAGUGGGGAAUAUUGGGCAAUGGGCUCAAGCCUGACCCAGCAACGCCGCGUGAAGGAAGAAUGCUUUCGGGUUGUAAACUUCUUUUCUCAGGGACGCAGCAAGUGACGGUACCUGAGGAAUAAGCCCCGGCUAACUACGUGCCAGCUGCCGCGGUAAUACGUAGGUGGCCAGCGAUAUCCGGAUUUACUGGGGUGACAGGGCGUGUAGGCGGGAAAGCAAGUCAGAUGUGAAAACCAUGGGCUCAACCUGUGGCCUGCAGUUGAACCUGUUGUUCUUGAGUACUGGAGAGGCAGACGGAAUUCCUAGUGUAGCGGUGAAAUGCGUAGAUAUUAGGAGGAACACCAGUGGCGAAGGCGGUCUGCUGGACAGCAACUGACGCUGAGGCGCGAAAGCGUGGGGAGCAAACAGGAUUAGAUACCCGAGUAGUC
This 443-nucleotide ribosomal RNA is filed under the name uncultured bacterium. RNAcentral's name for it is "partial 16S ribosomal RNA". It matches the Rfam family "Bacterial small subunit ribosomal RNA", at positions 338 to 795 of the family's 1533-position model. The record is from RNAcentral.